Transfer RNA from Ovis aries (sheep), 72 nucleotides. It matches the Rfam family "tRNA". Rfam says of the family: Transfer RNA (tRNA) molecules are approximately 80 nucleotides in length. Their secondary structure includes four short double-helical elements and three loops (D, anti-codon, and T loops). The record is from Rfam. Lineage: Eukaryota; Metazoa; Chordata; Mammalia; Artiodactyla; Bovidae.
UUCCUGGUAUCUCAGCUGGUAAAGAAUCUGCCUGCAAUGCAGGAGACCCUGGUUUGAUUCCUGGGUUGGGAA